Molecule: long non-coding RNA, 7458 nt
Filed under: Hordeum vulgare
Lineage: Eukaryota; Viridiplantae; Streptophyta; Magnoliopsida; Poales; Poaceae
Description: long non-coding RNA (HVUL_LNC002170)
Source: RNAcentral
UAUUAAUAAAACUUUGAAAAAUCAUAUAAAAUAAAUAGUAACUCAGAUGAAAAUAAUUUAUAUAUGAAAAAUGAUUAGAAAAAUAUAACAAAACUGAUUUUGCCAUCCACAUAGUUGUCACGUCCCUCCACCAUAAUGAACUUGGACAUUUUGCAUUAGGAUCAUCUAAUCGAAAAAUACGUGUAGCCGAGAAAAUACCGCAUGAUAUUUCCCCCUUCUUUUAAAAAUUCUGAGGGAUGCAUUAGAGCAUGACACCCACACAACUUGUCGUGCCAUUGCAUUUGUGUUGCAUUUGAUUUCUCCGUUAUUUAUUUUGUUUCUCCUUGUGUUACUUCUUUUCCGGUAGGCCCCGAGACCGUUGUUGAUACGGUGAUCGAUUUCUUCACCGUUGAGGAUUCGUAUCUGUCUGCAGAGCAAACAGGCAAGCAAACCCCACUGGACCAUCCAUAUAUUGCCCAAUUUUUUCUCCCUCGUGCUUGCAUUAGAAUUUUCUAUUAUAUUUGAUUGUUCCUAUUCUGAUACAUAGCCUGAUUUUGUAGCCUACUGUUGUUACCUACUUGCUUACACUAUAUGCUUUGUAUUGGUUGGAUACUGAGCCACCAGCGACCCCUCCCCUUGUCCUUGUUGCCCCGCUACAUUAUCGAAAGAUUUGAUCCAGGGGACCGACGAGCCAAGACUGUCACGUCACCACACACCCCCCUCCUUAGCUGUACGAUGCUACAUGAGUACUAUCGACUUUCGAGGAUGAUGGAAGAUUCAAUCCAGGUGAUCGACGAGACAAGAUGGGCAUAUCAUCUCACACCCCCUGGAUGGACAACGCUACAAUACUACUAUCGACUAUUGAGGGUGAUAUCUUCUAGUCCACUGUGAUAGUUACAUCAAUUAGAAACCCAUAGAGGGUGAUUCUUUGAAAUCCCCCUUGAUGACAAGGACACACUAUUACUUUUACCUGUUGCCCCUUUUAUUGGUAUUGUGGGACUAAAGGGACUGGCAUACCAGCCCGUUUGAAGUGGACCGGAGUCCCCGACAGUCUCUUGUGGAAUCGGGUCAAACUAGAGGGUAUUCGUGAGAUAACUACGUGACAUGGUCGGGGAUUCUUUGCCCUUGUCGUAAGUCCGAGAGACGGGGCGAUAGGAUCGGGAGGAUCGUUUAUCAUUACCGCGAGCUCCCAAGACACUAACGGGUUUGGAUAUGUGACCCGAGUAGGCCUAUGGCCUAUAUCGCACUAACCACCACACGGGAAUAAGUAUGGGCACUCUUCGUAGUACAUUCUCCCGAAAGCUCUCCAGACGUCACAGUUGAGCGGCACGCGCCCUGGUGGCUGAUGACCCACAAGUGUAGGGAUCUAUCGUAGUCCUUUCUAUAAGUAAGAGUGUCGAACCCAACGAGGAGCAGAAGGAAAUGACAAGUGGUUUUCAGCAAGGUAUUCUGUGCAGGCACUGAAAUUAUCGGUAACAGAUAGUUGUGUGAUAAGAUAAUUCAUAACGGGUAGCAAGUAACAAUAGUAACAAAGGUGCAACAAGAUGGCCCAAUCCCUUUUGUAGCAAGGGACAAGCCUGGACGAACUCUUAUGUAAGGUAAAGUGCUCCCGAGGACACAUGGGAAUUUCUGUCAAGCUAGUUUCCAUCAUGUUCAUAUGAUUCACGUUCGCUACUUUGAUAGUUUGAUAUGUGGGUGGAACGGUGCUUGGGUGCUGUCCUUACUUGGACAAACAUCGCACUUAUGAUUAACCCCUCUCGCAAGCAUCCGUAACUACGAAAGAAGAAUUAAGACUAAGUCUAACCAUAACAUUAAACUGGUGGAUCCAAAUCAGCUGUAACGACCAAGAUGCGGUCCUUUCCGAUCUGGGGGGUCGAGGCCCCGAAUAGGAAAGAAGCGCAUCUAAGUGUUUUGCAAGCAAGUAAACAUAGCACAAAAUAAUAAAUAUAGUAGACAAUCUGGGAUUCAACUGUCUUCUUAUUAAAAAUACAGAGUACAACGCAGCUACAAACAAGGUAGUUCCGGUACGGACUACAAAACAAGGGAAAUGCUAUGCUACCCGCUGCAGGCCCACGAUCACGACCACGGCUCAGUCCUCUGGAUAUCUCACGUAAAGGCGAUCUGUCUCCUCGUCGUACUGCCACGCCAGCUGGGUGCCGUCGGGAUCAUCUGCCUCUGGGGUACCUGUACCUGCUGGGGGUUUAGGAGGAAUCCGUGAGUCACGGGGACUCAGCAAUCUAAGACCUUGGUGCCAGAACUAGUCAUGUUAUUGGGUAAGGAAGGGGUGAAGUGUUUCAGAUUGUUGCAUCCUAAGAUUGAACAAGUGGCUAGCUUACGCGAAGGAGAAGUGACAGUGUUCUAUACUAACGAUCGUGAUUACUUGAUCAGAAAGUGAUCCUGAACACCUACCUACGGCAUUCGUAACCCCACCGUGUUCCCGAUCGAAGAGAGAUCUUCGAAGGGACAGUCACGGUUACUCACACAGUUGGCAUAUUUUAUUAGUUUUUCUUUAAGUUUUCUAAUACCGGAUGUUAACAAAAUAUUCCAAGUUGCCACAUAACCGCGGGCACGGCUUUCCGAAAGAUUAAACCCUGCAGGGGUGCUCCAACUAGUCCAUCACAAACGAACACAGGCCGAAAAGUCAUCCUCUAUCACGAAUCUCGUGAUCUCGUCGGAUUCCUUAGAGGAAAACCUCAACUCUGGGGAAAACCAAAGCCUCACCGGGAUUCCUAUACGCAAGAUAUACCGCUAAGGUAAGACAAGGCUAGCAGGACCUCCCGGUGUGUCGACGACCCGAUAAGAGCCGCGUAUCUCCGUCUCAGGACAACACCGUCUAUGCAAAGUGGACAAGGACCAAACCUCAAGUUACCCCGGGGUGGUCUUGCCGACUGCUAGGUGGUUGGACCAACACUCAUGAGGAGCACUGGCCCGGGUUGGUGAUUAGGAUCCUCGGGGUAGCUAUUCCCUAUGCAGAUUAUAGUUAGGUGAUUAGCAGAUAGUACCAAAGUUGGGUCCUGCCGGACAAGCCUUAACACUACGCGAUUUAUCAAGGGGGUCCCCAUAACAACCCCGAACGUGUUAGGAGCGAUCAUUAUGGAAUCAAACACCGAUAACCGGUAACUAAGGCGGCAAUAACGGAACAAGACACCCGGCAAAAGGCUAGGCCUCCCGUCAUGUACCUAAUAUAUAGAUACAUUAAUUAAAUAACAGAAAUUAAGAUAAUGAUACCAAGCUCAUGGCAACUCAUGAGUUAUAAACACCUGCAACUAACAAUGCUAACAUUAGUAGCUGAGCAAGCCUACCUAGCCAUGCAAAUUUGCUAGGAAAGAGUAAGGUGUUUGGGCUCAUGGCAUAUGAAGAGGCAAUAUAUUUUCAGUGGUAGGCAGCGAGCAAUAUGACGUGGAAUCGAAACUAACAUAACAAGUCUAGAUAUGGGAUCAAGGUCAUGUCAUCUUGCCUGUGAUAUCCUCAGCUUGGAAUGGUUCUGGAUCGUCCUGCAAGUACUCUCCUGACUCCACGUAAUCGGUCUCCGCUCCCGGUGCUACCCAACACAGGAAUAACAGCCAAUGAACAGCAGCACCACAAAAUGCAACAAUCACAUGAUGCAUGAGAUGAAAGUUGAGCAUGCACCACUAUUUCUAACACUAGCACAAGCAAGAUAAACUACAACGAGUUCCUGGACAGAACUUUGCACUAAACUAUUUGGACAUGCAUGGAAAUGAUAUGGACAGAUGCAUCUCGUAAAAACGGUGCAAAACCAUAUAAAGAACUUUGCAAACGGAGCUACGGAUCAACGGGAAUCAACGAAACACGAUAUGAAGCCCUACGUGAAAGAUUCAUCACCACACGCACAAUUGGCACAAAUCUGGUGUUCCCAGGUUGCCAAGACAUAUAUUAACCCAACAUGAAUGAAAUGGAGCAAGGUAGAACACCCCAACAACAAUUAAACACAAACUUUGAACAAAAUGCCAAAACUACGCAAUCUGCCAGUUUCUGCAUCUUAGCUGUUUGUGAGCCACAUGCAACAUAGCUACAGGUCUUCAAACAUGACAAAUAAUAUAUGUGGAUGUUUCCAACCAAGAACACUACCAUCUCCAGCAAGAAUCACAGCAAAAGGGAUUAAACUCUAGAAGAUACAAGGCCACAAACUUUCCCAAAACCAUCAGUUCUCAGGGACUUAGUGAAAAUUUCUGCACCUGAGUUUCUGUUUCUGUACUGAAGCCUUUUGACAGCAAUCAAAACACAAGAUACUGUACUCCAAAUGACUUGAAAAUUGACAGGAAGCUUCACAAACAUACCAGGUUCAAAACACCAGCACUGAACUAAGUCCAGUUCUCAAUAUACUGACCUGCACAACCUUAUCUACAGGGGAAGAAAAUGUUUUCCGCAUUCCAGACUUAGUGAAAUUUUCAGAGUUCAAAAUUCUGGAAUUUUUCCAGCCACAUGCCCACUUUGUCUAGGCAUAGUUUGCACACACAAGUUCCCAAGAGGUGUUUGACACCACUAUGGUAUUGAGCACAAACCCCUACAACUAACACACCAAGAUCCAUGCCUUUGGGCUCCAUCUAUACCAUGGAAACAAAGCCCAAACUUUCAACAAAAUGAAAAAUGCAAAACCAAAAGGUAUACUUUUAAGAUGACAAUGCAUAGGAGGGUUUCAUGUGCACAAUGACAAAGUGACAUGGGGUUUUGAACCCCAUGUUUGUGUCAUGCACAUCAACAACUCCAACACACACACAAUUCCUCUCAAGCACUAGCAUCAAGCUCGCACACAAGAAAUCUUUGUAUAACAAAAGAGUAUACACACCCCCCACACAUGGGCAUGUGAUGGUGCACACUCUCCCAAGCACCACUAGUAUCUUCCUAGUAUUCAUGUCACCAUCAUAGUGCAAACUACCACAACAAACCACACCCUCACAUGCUAUCAUAAAUAGCUAUCUAGUGCUAUUCCUCACCUCAAGACAUGUGAUGAGGGGGAGGCACCCACACCCCACUAUGUCAAUGCAAGCAAAUAAAACUACAAGAUCCCUUAGACCACCUUAAACUCCCAAAGAUGGGCUCCACAAGAGUAGCUAGUGCAUCUACUCCUUGAGGCACACACACACAAUUACCACACAUCACAAGUACCAUACCCACCAAGUGUUUACCAAGCUAGCAAUACCACCUCUACUUACUUGUAGGUGCACAACACACACACAUAGGGCCAUGUUCUCAACUACACUAGCAAGGAAUAAGAAGAUAAAACCCUCUUGCUGCCCAACAUAAGGGAGGGAAAGUACAAAAAAAAAAAAAANNNNNNNNNNNNNNNNNNNNNNNNNNNNNNNNNNNNNNNNNNNNNNNNNNNNNNNNNNNNNNNNNNNNNNNNNNNNNNNNNNNNNNNNNNNNNNNNNNNNNNNNNNNNNNNNNNNNNNNNNNNNNNNNNNNNNNNNNNNNNNNNNNNNNNNNNNNNNNNNNNNNNNNNNNNNNNNNNNNNNNNNNNNNNNNNNNNNNNNNNNNNNNNNNNNNNNNNNNNNNNNNNNNNNNNNNNNNNNNNNNNNNNNNNNNNNNNNNNNNNNNNNNNNNNNNNNNNNNNNNNNNNNNNNNNNNNNNNNNNNNNNNNNNNNNNNNNNNNNNNNAGUACAAAAAAAAAAAAAACAAAUAAAAUAAAUAGGCAGCAAAGGAAAGAAAGAAAAAAAAAAUUAAAAAAAAUAGCAAAACCAUUCCAGGGUCCCUGGGAUUCGAACUAGGCACCUACUGGAUUACCAGUCACCAACAAACCACUGCACUAGCUGCGCUACUGGUGACAGGAACGCGACAGGAAACAGAUAACUCCCCUUGCUGGCUACCGUAUAGGAAAAGAAACUAAAAAAAUUGUGCCGAGAGGGGGGUUCGAACCCUGGAUCUCCCAUCAGGCGCACGCAUAUGACAGAGAGGUACUACCAUCAGGCUACGAACUGGAGUCUGGCUAAGACUAGCAAGUAAAGCAGAACUACACACGCCUCACGAGAAGCAUCCCGCCGGCGGCCGGACCCGAGGACGCUGGCGGCGCCACUCCCGGCCACCACCGGCGGGGAAAACCAACGGCGGGGCCCGCGGGACUCUCGGGGGACCCAUUUUUGCCCUAAGCACGGGAGAAGGAGCACCCUUGGCUGCCUUGAACUGCAGCGGCGUUCCUGCUACGCUGUAGUUCGCCUGGGAGCACGGGACAGAGAGCUUGACGGGCAGCCCUGCCUGCGUCGCUACGCUGCACGGCCGGCGUGGAGCUCGUGCAUUCGGCGCUGAGGGACGCGAGGAGAAGACCCGCACCUUCUGGGUGCCCACCUACGCGGGGAGGAAACCCUGUGCAAACUGCAAGCUCUUCUCUGAUGAUAUACGCCUACCGAGACCUAGGUGACACGACCCCAGCUGCCGGCGGCGAGGAGAGUUCCUCUGAACAUGGCGCUGCUGCAGAGAGGGGGAGGAAGCCCUCCUCUGCACGGUACCUCCAUAACAAACCUACCCCACCCUGCACCACUCGCGACUACUGCACCCCCACACACCGCUAUCGGACAGAGAAAUGCACACACGCUGGAACGAGCCGGACCGCGGAGGCGGAAGGGAGGAGGACGAGGACGCGGCCUCACCUUGAGGAGAAGAGGGGCGUCGAACGGGGAGGAGGAGCGUCGGAGAGGAAGAAGACGGCCAGACGAAGUCGUCCCGCCGAAGACCGAAGAAGGAGACGGACGCGGAUCGCCCGGUUCGUCCCGUUGACGAGGACGAGCUCGAUGGGGGGGGCCGCUCCUCGGGGUCCUAGCGCCGGGAAUGGGACGCGGGGACUCACCCCGAGCCCCCGGACAUGGCGCCCAGUGCCGGAGACGACGGAUCGGCGGCUUGACGGGGGAGGCGCUGCACCCUCUCUCUCUGCUCUCUCUCAGGACUUACCAGGGAAGAACGAGGGCACUAGGGAAACUGGCGGCGCUGGGGAGGAAAGGAGAGGGAACCCUAGGGCGGAGGAGGAGGUCUCGGGCUCCUUUUAACGCCUCGGGAGGCGAGCUUGAGCCGCUGGAUCGAGAAGAGGGCGAUCGGGAGGUUGAGCGCGCGUCGUACAGGAGGUGACGUCGGGAGGAAGAAGGAGCGCUCGCCGGUGGGCUCUAUUAUCGCCAGGGUGGAGUCUAACUGGGCCAGCACGGGAGAAGGCUCAAUGGGCCAGGGAAAGAAUAGCUACACAGGAAGUUUAACCAAAUAUAACAACAGAGGAAGGAAUGCUUUCAGGGAAGAAAAAAAAUAUUACCCAAGAAAAAUACUGGGAUAAAAAUUAAAAGGAAAAUCCUGCUAGACAAAAAAAAUAAUAGCCCAAUAGGGAAAAAUAGGAAUGCAAUAUUUGGAGAUGUUCGAAAUAAAUGCAAAACAGUAAUUAACCUACUGUUUUGUAUUUAUUUGCACCACCAAAAUCAAAGAAUCAAAUCAGAAAAAUUGCACCCCUUCAUAAGCAAUUUUUAUCUACCCACUAGACAUUUUAGA